UGAAAACCAUUGGGAAAAUGCAAUAC
Molecule: non-coding RNA, 26 nt
Filed under: Mus musculus (house mouse)
Lineage: Eukaryota; Metazoa; Chordata; Mammalia; Rodentia; Muridae
Source: RNAcentral